AGUGCAAUUUCUGGGUCAUAUGGUAGAUGUAUUUUUAAUUUUAGAAGAAAUUGGAAAACUAUUUUCCAAAGUGGUUAUAACAUUUUUCAUUUCCACUAACAAU
Molecule: microRNA precursor, 103 nt
Filed under: Marmota monax (woodchuck)
Lineage: Eukaryota; Metazoa; Chordata; Mammalia; Rodentia; Sciuridae
Source: RNAcentral